Molecule: ribosomal RNA, 385 nt
Filed under: uncultured bacterium
Lineage: Bacteria
Description: bacterial SSU rRNA
Rfam family: Bacterial small subunit ribosomal RNA
Source: RNAcentral
GACGAACGCUGGCGGCGUGCUUAACACAUGCAAGUCGAGCGGUAAGGCCCUUCGGGUACGACGAGCGGCGAACGGGUGAGUAACACGUGGGUGACCUGCCUUUAGCUCUGGGAUAAGCCUGGGAAACUGGGUCUAAUACCGGAUAUGACCUCAUGACGCAUGUUGUGGGGUGGAAAGCCUUGUGCGGCUAGAGAUGGGCCCGCGGCCUAUCAGCUUGUUGGUGGGGUGAGGCCUACCAAGGCGACGACGGGUAGCCGGCCUGAGAGGGCGACCGGCCACACUGGGACUGAGACACGGCCCAGACUCCUACGGGAGGCAGCAGUGGGGAAUCUUGCGCAAUGGGCGAAAGCCUGACGCAGCGACGCCGCGUGAGGGAUGACGGCCU